RNAcentral lists this ribosomal RNA (482 nucleotides) under uncultured bacterium. RNAcentral's name for it is "partial 16S ribosomal RNA". It matches the Rfam family "Bacterial small subunit ribosomal RNA", at positions 30 to 507 of the family's 1533-position model. The record is from RNAcentral.
AUUGAACGCUGGCGGCAUGCUUUACACAUGCAAGUCGAACGGUAACAGGCCGCAAGGUGCUGACGAGUGGCGAACGGGUGAGUAAUGCAUCGGAACGUGCCCAGUCGUUGGGGAUAACUACUCGAAAGAGUAGCUAAUACCGCAUACGAUCUAUGGAUGAAAGCGGGGGACCGUAAGGCCUCGCGCGAUUGGAGCGGCCGAUGUCAGAUUAGGUAGUUGGUGGGGUAAAGGCUCACCAAGCCAACGAUCUGUAGCUGGUCUGAGAGGACGACCAGCCACACUGGGACUGAGACACGGCCCAGACUCCUACGGGAGGCAGCAGUGGGGAAUUUUGGACAAUGGGCGCAAGCCUGAUCCAGCAAUGCCGCGUGCAGGAAGAAGGCCUUCGGGUUGUAAACUGCUUUUGUACGGAACGAAACGGCUCUGGUUAAUACCCGGGGCUAAUGACGGUACCGUAAGAAUAAGCACCGGCUAACUGCGUG